CUGAGAGUCACCUUCAGACGCACCUGACGGCUCCAUUAACAUUCAGAACACUCCCAAAAUCACCUUCUUCCUCAGGAUUUCUCUCUUGAUAUCUAAACGUUCUUAGAUCAAGAGAAGCAAAACAACUGAAGAUAUUGUCUGAACAGUGACUGAAGUCUUGUUUUAGGAAAAAUCUUUAAGCUUAAAACAAGAAAAAGCAAAAAAUAUAUAUAUAUUUUUACUGUAGGGGUGUGAUUGACCUCUCCUCUAUGCAGGUCAGUCAGAGGUCAGUCCGAGGUCAGUGUGCAAUCAGUCUGAGGUCAGAGGUCAGUGUGAGGUCAGUCCGAGGUCAGUGUGCGAUCAGUCUGAGGUCAGAGGUCAGUGUGAGGUCAGUCAGAGGUCAGUGUGAGGUCAGUCCGAGUUCAGUGUGCAAUCAGUCUGAGGUCAGAGGUCAGUGUGAGGUCAGUCUGAGGUCAGUGUGCGAUCAGUCUGAGGUCAGAUGUCAGUGUGAGGUCAGUCAGAGGUCAGUCAGAGGUCAGUGUGCAAUUAGUCUGAGGUCAGAGGUCAGUGUGAGGUCAGUCCGAGGUCAGCGUGCGAUCAGUCUGAGGUCAGAGGUCAGUGUGAGGUCACAUGGCGUGUGUCUGAUCAUCAUGUUUGUGGAUAAAGCUGAAUGUAUUGACUGUGUGUUUCACUGAAUUCGCUGAACUGACCGGCAGCUUGACUUUUAAAGUCGUGUCUGGUUUGCGUUUCUCUUACUUUCACUGAGAUGUUUGGGGGAUUGUUUUACUCUCUCAGUAGUUUAUUCCUGAAAGAAAGAAGGGCAUGAAGACGCUGAGCGCAGAAGUGAAGGAUGAGAGUCAUGUCCUGAAAUCUGACAAAUCUAAAAUCAAGCACGUUUCACCACAUGAGUGUACAAAAUAUAUCAGUGUCAUGAAU
This is a long non-coding RNA of Cyprinus carpio carpio, 915 nucleotides long. The record is from Ensembl. NCBI's taxonomy places the organism in Eukaryota, Metazoa, Chordata, Actinopteri, Cypriniformes, Cyprinidae.